RNAcentral lists this transfer RNA (73 nucleotides) under Camelus bactrianus (Bactrian camel). It matches the Rfam family "tRNA". Rfam says of the family: Transfer RNA (tRNA) molecules are approximately 80 nucleotides in length. Their secondary structure includes four short double-helical elements and three loops (D, anti-codon, and T loops). Further hydrogen bonds mediate the characteristic L-shaped molecular structure. tRNAs have two regions of fundamental functional importance: the anti-codon, which is responsible for specific mRNA codon recognition, and the 3' end, to which the tRNAs corresponding amino acid is attached (by aminoacyl-tRNA synthetases). tRNAs cope with the degeneracy of the genetic code in two manners: having more than one tRNA (with a specific anti-codon) for a particular amino acid; and 'wobble' base-pairing, i.e. permitting non-standard base-pairing at the 3rd anti-codon position. The record is from Rfam by way of RNAcentral. RNAcentral also lists the same sequence under 2 other names. Lineage: Eukaryota; Metazoa; Chordata; Mammalia; Artiodactyla; Camelidae.
GAGGGUGUAGCUCAAGUGGUAGAGCACAUGUUUAGCAUGCACAGGGUCCUGGGUUCAAUCCCCAGUACCUCCU